This 253-nucleotide ribosomal RNA is filed under the name uncultured bacterium. RNAcentral describes it as "partial 16S ribosomal RNA". It matches the Rfam family "Bacterial small subunit ribosomal RNA", at positions 524 to 776 of the family's 1533-position model. The record is from RNAcentral.
UACAGAGGUGGCAAGCGUUGUUCGGAAUUAUUGGGUUUAAAGGGUGCGUAGGCGGCCCUGUAAGUCAGUUGUGAAAUACGGCAGCUUAACUGUCGAGGUGCAAUUGAUACUGCAGGGCUUGAGUACUGAUGAGGUAGGCGGAAUGGACGGUGUAGCGGUGAAAUGCUUAGAGAUCGUCCAGAACACCGAUAGCGAAGGCAGCUUACUAAGGAGUAACUGACGCUGAGGCACGAAAGUGUGGGGAUCAAACAGG